Xiphias gladius (swordfish) is the source of this 1623-nucleotide long non-coding RNA. RefSeq lists it as uncharacterized. The transcript is spliced from 2 exons. Lineage: Eukaryota; Metazoa; Chordata; Actinopteri; Istiophoriformes; Xiphiidae. The record is from RefSeq and is a predicted model, not a curated record.
CUCUGACUAGUUGAUAAUGCGAGUGUGCGUCCCUCCUGGCUCUGCUUCGUUUUGAUGACAGUAAUUAGUGAAUGACAAACUUGACUGAGGUCUGGGAUGGACGUUCGUGUAUUUGUGGGUGUGUAUUUUGUAUAUUUAACCUUUUGUGUGUGUAUUUGGUUUGACAGGGACACUAAAAUAAUUAUUUCCAGUCAGUCAGUGGUGUUUUUGACUUCUAAGAGGUCGUCCGAGGGGACAGUAAGAGAGAGGAGGUUGGACGAAGAGGAAUAAGAGAAUAAUCAAGAAGAAAAUAGACAGGAGCAGAGCAAGAAGGCAGCAGGAUGGGCUUUCAGCAGCUUGGGCCUCUUGUCCUCUACACUCUCCCUGGACUGUUGCUUCAGCUUCCUCAGCAGUGCUGUGACUGAAGGACACAGAGAAACAAAGACACAAAGAGAGAUGAAGAACACAACUGAGACCAAAAGCAUCAACAAUGAGGAAGCUUUUUGCUGUGUGGCUUAAGAGCUUCAUGUGGAAAAAAUUAUUCAAAAGUGGACUGGAUGACAGCAUUUGUUCCCUUAACAGAGGACUGUUAAUUUUUUCAAAUAAACUUUUGUUAUGUUGAAUCUGAUCCCACCAAUUAACUUGCUCCAAGUAAAGGAUUUAGUCACUAUAUUCAAAAACUAAUUUCUCCACCAUGUUUUUGUUGUUUUGGCAAACGACAAGCAUCCUUGCCAACCUCUGCAAAUAUGAUAAUUGGUUGCCUGAGAAGAAAAAAAAAAGAAAAAAAAACUCUUUUUCCUUUUUCUAAAACACUGAAUCUUUCUAAACUUUAAAGACCGCUACACUCUUCAGUAAGGAGCUUUUUUGAGAGCGCCUGCAUUGUGAGUGUUUUGAAGACUCUCUUUGAUUUUAUUUCAAUGUAAAGAAGGUGAUGGAAGUUUUGAUGCACGAACACUUCCAGAGAUGGCAGCUGAUAUUGCUGUACUAUCCGUCACCCACCUAAGCAGCUAAAAUGUGACUAAAACUAAUUUCAUAUCAAAAAGAUCAAAAAAAUAUUUUCAGGUGCAAAAAUUACUGCAGCAUUAAUCCAGCACUCUACAGGAAAGUAGUUCAGAUUUUGCCGCUUCUCUACAACACAGAUGGGUCCUCUGAGGGUUAAUGUUUAAGUUUGCCACAUGCUGCAAGAAAUGGAAAGUCUUAUGUUUAUGAAUGUACCAUAAGUCACCCCCAUUAUCGUAAGAACAGUAUCUCUAUGCAAAUCCGGCCAACAAUGAGAGCUGCUGAUGGCAAAGAGCACACAGUUUACGGUAACAAUGGCUUUUGGUUCAGAGGUAUGCCAACUUCCUGUGGCCACGUGGGACACUCCCAGCAGCAUCCGACCUUUCCCAGUGCACCGCCUGCAGGGAUCAAAACGUUCCAGGAAGUUUAAAGGGAACAAGCACGGCAGAUAUAGAGCUCCCUGCUAAUGAGCUGCACCUUUAACCUCCUUAAUGACCUUGGGGAGACACUUUCUCACAGGAGACUUUUAACCAUGGCGGUUUACAUUAACAAGUAUUCACAGCUCUUUAGCCCAUUGGCUGCAGAAGACUUGUUUUUUAGUGAAAAAAGAAAAUGGGGUUAAGGAAAAAAAAAAGAAAAAAAAAA